RNAcentral lists this ribosomal RNA (484 nucleotides) under uncultured bacterium. RNAcentral describes it as "partial 16S ribosomal RNA". It matches the Rfam family "Bacterial small subunit ribosomal RNA", at positions 30 to 507 of the family's 1533-position model. The record is from RNAcentral.
AUUGAACGCUGGCGGCAGGCCUAACACAUGCAAGUCGAGCGGAUGAAGGGAGCUUGCUCCUGGAUUCAGCGGCGGACGGGUGAGUAAUGCCUAGGAAUCUGCCUGGUAGUGGGGGAUAACGUCCGGAAACGGGCGCUAAUACCGCAUACGUCCUGAGGGAGAAAGUGGGGGAUCUUCGGACCUCACGCUAUCAGAUGAGCCUAGGUCGGAUUAGCUAGUUGGUGGGGUAAAGGCCUACCAAGGCGACGAUCCGUAACUGGUCUGAGAGGAUGAUCAGUCACACCGGAACUGAGACACGGUCCAGACUCCUACGGGAGGCAGCAGUGGGGAAUAUUGGACAAUGGGCGAAAGCCUGAUCCGGCCAUGCCGCGUGUGUGAAGAAGGUCUUCGGAUUGUAAAGCACUUUAAGUUGGGAGGAAGGGCAGUAAGUUAAUACCUUGCUGUUUUGACGUUACCAACAGAAUAAGCACCGGCUAACUUCGUG